UCGCGAAUCAUUCACAAUGGACGCAAGUCUGAUGAUGCCACGCCGCGUGCGGGAUGAAGGCCCUUUGGGUUGUAAACCGCUGUCAAGGGAGGGGAAACACCUAGUGUUAACAGCGCUAGGCUUGACUGCUCCCUAAAGGAAGCCCCGGCAAAACAUGUGCCAGCAGCCGCGGUAAUACAUGUGGGGCAAGCGUUGUUCGGAAUUACUGGGCAUAAAGGGUGCGUAGGCGGUUUGUCAAGUCACUGGUGAAAGUUUGCGGCCCAACCGUAAAAUUGCCUGUGAUACUGGCGAACUUGAGUGCGUGAGGGGUAGGGGAACGAGCAGUGUAGCGGUGAAAUGCGUAGAUAUUGCUCGGAAGGCCGGAGCCGAAGGGGCCCUACUGGUACGUAACUGACGCUGAGGCACGAAAGCGUGGGGAGCAAACAGGAUUAGAUACCCCAGUAGUCCCUGAGCGGGCUGGCAAGGCGCAU
Molecule: ribosomal RNA, 470 nt
Filed under: uncultured bacterium
Lineage: Bacteria
Description: bacterial SSU rRNA
Rfam family: Bacterial small subunit ribosomal RNA
Source: RNAcentral